This 386-nucleotide ribosomal RNA is filed under the name uncultured bacterium. RNAcentral's name for it is "bacterial SSU rRNA". It matches the Rfam family "Bacterial small subunit ribosomal RNA", at positions 29 to 409 of the family's 1533-position model. The record is from RNAcentral.
AACGAACGCUAGCGGCAUGCCUCAAACAUGCAAGUCGAACGAGAACGGGACUUCGGUCCCUAGUAAAGUGGCGCACGGGUGAGUAACACGUAGCUAACCUACCCUUUCGCUGGGGAUAACUCCGGGAAACCGGAGCUAAUACCGAAUAAUCUGACACGGCCUGCGGGCUGUAUCGGUAAAGCCUUCGGCGCGAGAGGAUGGGGCUGCGGUCCAUUAGCUAGUUGGCGGGGUAAUGGCCCACCAAGGCGACGAUGGAUAGCUGGUCUGAGAGGAUGAUCAGCCACACUGGAACUGACACACGGUCCAGACUCCCGACGGGAGGCAGCAGUUGGGAAUAUUGGAACAAGUCGGGGGAAACCCUGAUCCAGCAAUGCCGCGUGAGUGAU